Harpia harpyja (harpy eagle) is the source of this 1010-nucleotide long non-coding RNA. RefSeq lists it as uncharacterized. The record is from RefSeq and is a predicted model, not a curated record. The transcript has 4 exons. Lineage: Eukaryota; Metazoa; Chordata; Aves; Accipitriformes; Accipitridae.
CAUAGUCAUGCUUCUACUUUUCACUUUAUUUUCCCUUAGUGCCCUGGCUGAGGUUGCUACAGGAAAGAGAGUGGUGCAUAUCCCAUACAGGGACUUGGUCCUGACGAAACUCCUGCAGUCUCCUCAGGGGGGAAACAGCAGGACCAUCAUGAGAUUGCGGCCGUUGAGUCCAGCAGACAUCUGUUACGAAGAAACUUUGUCAACCUUGUGAUAUGCUGAAAGGACAAAACGGGUCAGGAACAAAGCAGUGGUAAGUGCAAGUCCCAGUGAGAAGCUUCUAAGAGAACCGCAGGCUGAAAAUAACAAACUGUUGUCCAGACUGCCUGGGCUCGGGAGCACAGGGCGACCAAUAGCCAAUGGAACACGUAUGUAUUUCAGCAUAAAUACAGCUAUGAAUAGCAAGUAGAUUUUGACUUCCCAAAACAUUAUCAGGAGGCAUUUUUGGUAAUCUGUAACACUGAAGAAGUAUGGUGGGAAUGGAGCUGAGGAGGAUUCGCCGGGGCUGGCUCCUGUGCACGCUCUGGGCACCGUGUUUUGUUGAUCCCCCCCUUCUGGUUAGAAGAGGACAAGGAAGAUGGCAGCUUUCAUUUCCAGUUCAGGAUGCUGACAGCAGCAACAAACAUCUCGGCUGUUCAGCAGCGGGGUACCCUGGUUAAAGCUGUCUUGCUGUUCACAAGAGGUGUGGUUUUUGCUGGCUGAGAACAAGCGGCGGAUCUGGAGCACGCAGGCGACGUGGGAGUCCCGGCUGGAGGAAGCCCAGAAGAAGUGGGAGCACCAGCACGCUGCAGCGGCUCAGGCGUUUCCCAGUAAUGGGCAUCGCAGCCAGAUACCUUAACCUCUGCUCUUCUGCUUCUGAUGUUUUCCCCUUCUUGUCAUCUUUAAGACUCGUUGCUCACACACUUCUCUGCCAGCAAUGCCCCGACGAGACCCUCCAGGGGCUUUUCAGCCUGGGUAAACUGGCAAUAACGUAGCCCUGGGUUAAGGGUCCACAAUAUAAUAGCAAAUCUCUC